This 225-nucleotide long non-coding RNA is filed under the name Trifolium pratense (red clover). RNAcentral's name for it is "long non-coding RNA (TPRA_LNC007750)". The record is from RNAcentral. Lineage: Eukaryota; Viridiplantae; Streptophyta; Magnoliopsida; Fabales; Fabaceae.
AGUAUCAUCUCUUUUGCAACACUUUUGUUCAAUAUAGUCCUCACAAGUACACACUUGCACGAAGCUUACAAAGAAAAAUACAAUUAUAAUGGCUCAACCAGACUAUGAAGUCAUCUUUAGAAAAGGCAGAAAUGAAAAGCAAGCUAGUCUUUACCAAGAGUUAAGCACUAGAGAAAUUGUAUCAACCAAGUAUUGUGAUGAAUCUUGUUUAAAAAUGCUAGGUUU